AGAGUGUCUAAAUACAGAACUAAAAUUUCACAUAUACUAUACAUAUGAAAAUCAGCACGGUCUUUUGCCAUGAUAUAUAUUCUAAUCAAUAAAAACUAUUCCGAUAGGCAGAGUAAUCUAAUAAUCUAAAACACAAAUGCAUGCGAGUGAGUGUUACUACCUGACGUUAGUCCAGAAGAAGCUAAGAAGCCCAGCCUAGGUCUCAAUUGUACCUAGAUGCACGAAAGGCACCAUUGAAUGUCUCUUUCCACAAUUUCACGCAUGCAGGAAAUCAUGCCGUUAUUCACGCAAUGAUAGACACGAAACUCAGUGCUCAGUCUGGAAAAAUAUUGUAAUUAUAGGCUAUUAUUACUGCGUUAAAUGUAAAUGAUUUCUUCCUUUCAAGAGAGCACACAAGAUAUUCGCUUAUCUUCAUUUUUGGAAAAGUAUUUGCAAGGAACAUGUCACAUGAUCUUGCUCUAAAAUCAAUUAAAAAUCUGGAAAAAUUUUCAUGUUUCAUGUAUAUCAUCAACGUGUUUUCCUAUAUACUAUUUACACUUUUUUCUUUUUCUUUUCAAUGUACAUGCAAUGAACGUCUUAAUUUCUUGGGGGGAAGCUGU
Molecule: non-coding RNA, 599 nt
Organism: Paramuricea clavata
Lineage: Eukaryota; Metazoa; Cnidaria; Anthozoa; Malacalcyonacea; Plexauridae
Source: the annotation of a GenBank genome assembly